AAACAACUACACACACACACCCAUGCAGACUCGGCAAACAAUGAAGGAGGCGAGGCGCUGUGCAUUCUCUCUGGAUUUUAUUCUUUAGGAAGAGUUCUGUUUGGAAUUACAAAAUGCACUGGUAGAAAUAGCGGUGAAACUGGUUGAGAGUGCGACAGGUAGGAGUGUGAGAGAGACAGAGUUAGAGAGAGAGAAAGAGAGAAAAAAGAGGGAGAGAGAGAGAGAGAAACAGAAAGAGAGAGAGG
This is a long non-coding RNA of Salarias fasciatus (jewelled blenny), 245 nucleotides long. RefSeq lists it as uncharacterized. The transcript is spliced from 3 exons. The record is from RefSeq and is a predicted model, not a curated record. NCBI's taxonomy places the organism in Eukaryota, Metazoa, Chordata, Actinopteri, Blenniiformes, Blenniidae.